AAUGCUCCAUGAACAAUUCCACUGGCUGCAGGGCCCAGCCUCUGUGAUUAAGCCUCCAGGUCUCCUGCUGCUUCUAAUAGGCCUGCGGGCUUGACCAUCUGAUGAGAACCGCUGCGCCAGCCUGCUCCGAGCUGGCGCUGGAAUCUCCUAGCGCACGGUAUUAAUCAUCACUGUCAGGCCACUCGGCCUAAA
RNAcentral lists this long non-coding RNA (192 nucleotides) under Ictidomys tridecemlineatus (thirteen-lined ground squirrel). Its description in RNAcentral is "lncRNA (ENSSTOG00000030475.1)". The record is from RNAcentral. Lineage: Eukaryota; Metazoa; Chordata; Mammalia; Rodentia; Sciuridae.